UCGUGGAGUGAUCUGUCUGCUUAAUUGCGUUUCACAAUAAUGGGCAUUUAGGAGUUACUUGCGCACACAGAGUUUGUAGUAUUUUGCUCUUUGCAAAAUACUCCUCUGUUGUUGCGCGGUAUCUCUGUCAUCAUGCCCUGAAGGCAACGAACGUGACCGCAACAUCUUGUUACUUUUUCUUUACUUGGGGGAAAAUAAUCCACUCGUUGGGUUUUUUUCCUUGCCAGUAGUA
Molecule: ribosomal RNA, 232 nt
Filed under: uncultured eukaryote
Lineage: Eukaryota
Description: partial 18S ribosomal RNA
Source: RNAcentral